This 73-nucleotide transfer RNA is filed under the name Paramuricea clavata. RNAcentral's name for it is "tRNA-Thr". The stretch from base 6 to 67 matches the Rfam family "tRNA", at positions 6 to 65 of the family's 71-position model. From Rfam's summary of the family: Transfer RNA (tRNA) molecules are approximately 80 nucleotides in length. Their secondary structure includes four short double-helical elements and three loops (D, anti-codon, and T loops). Lineage: Eukaryota; Metazoa; Cnidaria; Anthozoa; Malacalcyonacea; Plexauridae. The record is from RNAcentral.
GUAUUUGUAGCUCAGUUGGAAGAGCAUUGGGCUAGUAUUCCAAAGGUCGUAGGUUCGAAUCCUACCGUGGCCU